Long non-coding RNA from Choloepus didactylus (southern two-toed sloth), 663 nucleotides. RefSeq lists it as uncharacterized. The transcript has 3 exons. Lineage: Eukaryota; Metazoa; Chordata; Mammalia; Pilosa; Megalonychidae. The record is from RefSeq and is a predicted model, not a curated record.
GGUGUCUGCCCGGCACAGGAAGUGGCGGAGACAACUGGGUUAUCUAGAGCGAGUGACCUAUUCCUGGAUUUCGCGCCCCCGGCGCCACUCGCGUCCACCCGGGAGGCAGAGCUCGCCCUUGGCCCCCCAGGAGGCCAGCAGCAGUGGAGAGACAGACGAAGACUCUUCGCCGCCGAAUCUCCGUCUCCCCCUACCUCAGCCAGUUGACCAUGCUGGGGCACAGCCUUCAGCGCUGUGAGCCUCGCGCGCAGUAAGCCCGGCCCGUGCCCCUCCCGGGCGGCGCAGACUCCCGGGGGGUCACCGCUGGCUUGCGGGGCGCACUAGCUGUGCCCGGGUUGGGCCCGGGGCGCGCGGGGCCCGCUUCUCCUCUUUUCUGCUUGUCGAUCGAGGGAGGGGCUUAAAUCUUGUGACUGCAGAAAAUAAAACAGCCUGCUGUUGUGCAUCUGCGUUUCUUUUCACUUGCUGCGUCUGCAACUUUUCUUGCCUUUACCCUCCCUCGGGUUGCAGGGGCCCGAGGGAUUCAGAUGUUCAAGUAGUCAGGUAAUUGAAGACAACUUAGGAAAUAUAAGAAACCAAAAAUCAAGCGGGUCUGGACAUUCAGGAUUAACUGCUGUCAACAUGUUGGAAUAUUUCCUUGGUGUUAUCUUGAAUUUAUAUAUUAAA